Molecule: long non-coding RNA, 1965 nt
Filed under: Pelobates cultripes (western spadefoot toad)
Lineage: Eukaryota; Metazoa; Chordata; Amphibia; Anura; Pelobatidae
Source: RNAcentral
GUACAUUCAGUUUUUAACUUGUGUUUUUUUUUCUUCACAAACAGAAGAACUCUUACAAUAGUAGACUUUCUAAAAUAAAUACUAUUAAAAUAGAGCUUCAAAAUAAAUAUUCUAUACAAAUGAAACAAUCAGCGUAUACAUUUCUUCUGUGGAGUGAAUCUUUAAAGAAAAAAAAAUGAAAAGAAAAUAUAUAUAUUAUAUAUAAAUUUAAACAAUGGUGGUUGUGAACAAAUUGCACAUUGGUUACUGACAAAAAGGCCUUUUCAGAAUGGAUUUUGUAUUGUAAAUGCAAAUAUAAUGAGUACACAAAAAGGCAACAAAGUAAAAAUGUUAUGAAGCUGGACACCAUUGUAAUCAAAACCAGCAACCAGGCUCAUUGUUUUCUAGAUUGUGCUUGGCGGAACUAUGCAGCAGCAAGUUUAGUAUAAUGGGCACCAUCCCAAAUUUAAAAUAAAGACUAGUACCAAGAGCAGUUUACUCCAAAGCCUGGGCUCUAGCUGCUUAGGAGGCUUGCUUAUGUUUUAUUGAAGAGAAAUUGUGAGUUUUUUGUGGGUAGUUUUUUCUAUUUAACUUGAGGUGGCAGCAUGGCUUAUACAGAGGAGGCAAGCAAACUUGCCUUCAUUGUACUAUUCAGUGAAAGGAGCCAACCCGUGAUUCAAUGCAAACACAUAUUUGAUUACCAACUAAAUGAAAUAAAGCUAUGUUUACGUUAAAACAACCAACAGAUUAUUAGCCACUAAAAAGGCUACCACACAAGUAACCCUUCCUCUUCUGUAGCAAACAAACAAGCAAAAAAAACAAAAAAAACAAAACAAAAAUAAAUAAAAAUCCCCACACCCCCCAACUUUUUUCUGGACUUUAGCUCAAAGUGUACACUCCCCACCCCACCCCCGAUUAUCGAUAAAAAAUAAAUUAAAAAAAGUUAUAAAUUCCGCCUUCUACACGAAUAAUAAAUUACAAUAGACCGAUCAUUGAUUACACUAUGUUGCCACUGACAUCCAACUCCAAAACAUAACUGUAUGUGUGCGUAUACGUGUAGAUAAGGACUGCAUUUUAGCAUUCAUUUUCAAUAAUUCCCAAUUGUUAUGGGACCCUGACCAGUUAUAUAAAUUUUUAGCUUAUUAUAUAUGUUCACAGAGCCUCCCCUCCAAAAACAGCAACAUAUAUUUUACACGUGAUUUUGGCACACUAACGUAUUUGUAAGACGAUUGUUAGGUGUAAUAACACUGGAUCCAAAUGUAUUUUGGACUUGAGUUGUUGAACUUCAAAUUAUUUCCAAAAGUAAAAUGCAGGAGUCAAGUCACUACACGUUGAGCUAUAAGGGGGUUUAACCACAGGCUUGUUAAAUUUAGGCUGAAAUAAGUAAGGUGGUGGGAGAUUUUCACUUGUUUUGCCUAAAAGUUGCAAGUAUGUCAUCUUAAUCACGUAGAUGAAUAAGCAGAAUGACAUUACGUUGGUCAAUAUUCACAAAGCUGAAAAUGCAUUGCAUACUUUGUUUUGGAAUUUUAUAGCAGUGAAUUUGGAGAGUCUGUAUUUAAAUAUACUUCAAUGAAUGGCUCCAUUGGUUAAUGUUUAAUAAUAAAAAAAAAAAAAAAAAAAAAAAAAAAAAAAAAGGGGAGAUUAUGGCUAACCAGGUUAAGGAACUGGGUCAUCAUCCUCUCCAAAUGAGUGAGUAUAUAAAAAUACAUAAGCUAUCCUCUGCAUAUCAAAACACUAAUAUUGUUAGACUGAAUGCAAGCAAUUAAAUGUCAACUUCGAAAUACCCACAUAAUGUCAUUGAAUACUUAGGUAAAAGAGUCAUUUUAUGGCAGAUAUCAGGUUGGCCAUUCCUAAAGGAAAAGUUUCAUUAAAGAAAAUAAAAAAUAAAAAUAAAAAAAAGGGGGCGUGGGAAAUGUAUUUGUACCUUCUUAAACCUUGGAGUAUCACAGGUGAAGUGGGUUACUCAUCCCCUCUGGUACUCAAAAG